UAAAUGGUGUCCUUAGACACCACCAUUUGCCUUUAAAAAAUAAUCU
This is a non-coding RNA of Picea glauca (white spruce), 46 nucleotides long. Lineage: Eukaryota; Viridiplantae; Streptophyta; Pinopsida; Pinales; Pinaceae. The record is from Rfam.